AAAGAGAGAGAGAGAAGAGCGAAAACCUUACAUGACUCAACAAAGAGAGAGAGAAAGAGGGGGGGAGAGAAAAAGAGAGAGGGGGAGAGACGCGCACGUUAAGGCGCACGUUAGCAUUCCCUGGUGCUGGGCAAAAUUUCGAGUUGUGAAAUCGCAGGCAUUGUCUCUGAGAGGCUUUUCAAAUUGCAAUCCACAAGCUCUGCAAUUUUCUUUUGAGGUUGAACGAGCCCGAAUUAUUUGAAAUUGGUUCACGCAUGGCGGAGACCUGAGAGUUUCUUGCGGCGCAGGUAAUUUCAAUCGUCACUGCAUUAGCUCGUCCACAUUUAGAUGGCUGGCUGUGCAUUGCAGGAAGAACUGGGCGAAAUUCGAAUGUUGCUUUGGGAUUAGAGGUCUCAAGACAUUCCUAGGGUUUCUUUGGUACGGUCGGUGUGAUUGAGCUGGUUUGGAGCUGAAUGUUAUUACUGGAGGGUCUUCUGAGGACGUUCAACGGAGUACUUGCUGUCGUACUAUGAAUACAGGGGUGUUUUGGGUCGAGCUCAUGAGCUGCGGCCCUCUGCUCUGAGGUGCCUCUCAUAGUUAUGGGGUAGAAUAAAGAGCUCUUCCCUUACAUUUUUAUCAAUUUCAGUUAAGUGUUCCGAUUUUCAUGGGGAGAGUUUUGGCAUUGCCUUAUGGUAUCCAUUUUAUUCUGGGCUGUUAUUCAAAUGGGUAUUGGGUCCGUUCCUGCCAAGCACCUGACUUUGCAACUUGAAUGGCUGAUCUUCAGAGAACGGUUUUUGGUGAUAGGAAUAUCGAACAGGCAGUUACAUCUCUUAAGAAAGGUGCAUAUCUACUAAAGUAUGGACGUAGGGGGAAGCCAAAGUUCUGCCCAUUUCGGCUUUCCAGUGAUGAAUCUCUGCUCAUAUGGUAUGCUGGAAAGGAUGAGAAACAGCUAAAGCUCAGUGCUGUUUCAAAAAUCAUUCCUGGGCAGCGAACUGCCAUAUUUCAGCGGUAUCCUCGGCCUGAAAAGGAGUAUCAAUCAUUUUCACUUAUAUACAAUGAAAGGUCCUUGGAUUUGAUUUGUAAGGACAAGGAUGAAGCUGAAACCUGGUUUGUUGGUCUGAAGGCAUUAAUUACUCGUGGUCAUGAUCACAAAUGGAGGUGUGAAUCAAGAAGUGAAAGUGCUUGUUCUGAUAGUCCACAGCAUCACGCCCGAAGAAAUUCUCCAUCAAUUGCACCAUUUGACCUGGUAGAUGCUGAAGAAUGUUCUUUUGACAGUACUUCAGAAAAUAGAUUGGGGAAGGCUUUCUCUGAAAUUAUUUCAUAUACUGCAGCUGGUGCAAGUCCUUGUCAAGCUGAAUCCAAUGCAAAUUCCUCUGUGUCUCCUGGGUCUGGGGAUAACUCAAACAACCGAAAUUCUGCUGCUGAGCCAGUUCGAGUUAGUUUAUCAAGUGCUGUAAGUUCAUCCAGCCACAGCUCUUACCAAGAAGAUUUUGAUGCUAUAGGUGAUGUUUUUAUUUUUGGAGAAGGUAUUGGUGAUGGAGUCCUUGGUGGUGGUUUGCAUAGACUUGGAACUUCAUCUGGUUCUGAGAUGGAUGCAUUUCUUCCUAAGGCAUUGGAAUCAAAAGUAGUUCUGGAUGUUCAGAGCAUUGCUUGUGGCUACAAACAUGCUGCUCUAGUUACCAAGCAAGGAGAGGUAUAUAGCUGGGGGGAGGAAUCAGGAGGCAGGCUAGGGCAUGGUGUAGAAGUGGAUGUUUCUCACCCUAAAGUCAUCGACACUCUUAGUGGCGCAAAUAUUGAAUUAGUAGCAUGUGGAGAGUAUCACUCUUGUGCUGUCACAUUUUCUGGGGAUCUUUAUACCUGGGGUGAUGGCAUUCACAAUUCUGGAUUACUUGGGCAUGGAAAUGAAGUCAGUCACUGGAUUCCUAAGAAAGUAAGUGGUAACAUGGAAGGCAUACAUGUAUCCUAUGUAUCUUGUGGACCUUGGCACACAGCGAUUGUGACAUCUUCUGGCCAGUUGUUCACAUUUGGGGAUGGAUCUUUUGGUGCCUUAGGUCUAGGAGAUCUUAGUAGCACAAAUACUCCUAGGGAAGUAGAAACUUUGAAAGGGUUGAGAACAACCAGGGUCUCCUGUGGUGUUUGGCACACUGCUGCUGCUGUUGAGGUGGCAACUGAAUCUAUGGAAUCUUCUAGACACUCUAGAGGAAAACUGUUCACCUGGGGUGAUGGAGAUAAAGGCCAACUUGGACAUGGUGAUAGCGAGCCUAGACUAGUUCCCCAAUGUGUUAUUGCAUUGGAUAAUCAAAAUAUUUGUCAAGUGGCUUGUGGUCACAGCCUCACUGUUGCUUUAACAGCCUCAGGACGUGUAUAUACAAUGGGCCAUACUGCUUAUGGGCAACUUGGCAAUCCUGCAGCUGAUGGAAAGUUCCCUACACAGGUUGAAGGUAAGAUUGGUGGUAGUUUCAUAGAAGAUAUUGCCUGUGGUUCAUAUCAUAUUGGAGUCCUGACUUCCAAAGCAGAGGUUUACACCUGGGGAAAGGGUUCGAAUGGGCAGCUAGGCCAUGGAGACAGUGGUCACCGAGAUACACCUACACUCGUUAAGUUUUUUAAAAAUAAGCAGGCGAGGAGUAUUGUUUGUGGCUCAAACUUUACUGCUGUUAUAUGUCCUCAUAAAUGGGUAUCAAGUGCUGACCAUUCUGUGUGUUCUGGUUGUCACAAUCCUUUUGGAUUCAGAAGAAAACGCCAUAAUUGCUACAACUGUGGACUUGUUUUUUGCUCAGCAUGCAGCAGUGGAAAAUCUACUAAAGCUUCUCUUGCUCCAACUUCAAACAAGCAAUAUCGUGUUUGCGGUGACUGUUAUUCUAAACUUAAGAAGACCACAGAAUCUGUUUCCUUGACAAAAACUUUUACAUUGAAAAAUUUGCCUGACUCUUGGGCUAGUAAAUUGCAGGGAAAGCUAUUAAGGCUUUCAUCUUUUGGCUCUAAUGUUCAAGCAGGAAGCAGGCCCUCAAAGAUCCCAGGAUCACAUCAUACCCAUGUUUUUCCAGCUCUGAAUGGAAAACUACAGUUGGGGGGAUUCAGUCCUCUAAAUGCAUCAAAUUCUGUUCCUGGAGCAUCAGAGAAGCCCCUGUCAGUUUCUGUGCCUGCAAGUGGUUUGAACUCUGAAGUGUCAUCUCCAGUUUCAGAAAAGUUGAGUCCACGAUGGUCUUCUGAAGAAGUUCAUGAUGAUUCAAAGAACAGAAACAGCGUUUUAAGUCACAGUGUUUUAAGUCAGGAGGUUAUAAGUUUAAGGGCACAGGUUGAAAAUCUUACUCUUAAAUCGAAGCAUCUUGAGGCUGAACUUGAGAGGACAUCAAAGCAGUUAAAGGAAGUGACUGCAGUAGCAGCAGAAGAAGCUGAGAAGUGUAAAUCUGCUAAAGAGGUUAUAAAGUCAUUGACUGCUCAGUUGAAGGAAAUGGUACAAAGAGUGCCAGAUGGAGGUCUUGGGAACUCAAAUGCCGACUUCUCUGCUGAAAUUACCACUAAUAUUCUAAAUCAGUCUUUAAAUGAGUGCCAUAUAACGAACAGUACCAUUCCUGAAUCUGAGUCGAUCAGCAAUGCAGAAAAUCGGAUAAUGCCUGAUAUUUCCAAAGCACAAAGUGGAAAAUCAGAGUGGGUGGUUCAAGAUGAACCGGGUGUAUACAUAAGUUUGUCCUCCUUGCCAGGUGGUGGUAAUGAACUUAAACGUGUGCGUUUCAGGCUUUCCUGAUGGACAAGUUUAGUGCCUUCUACCGUGUUUUCAAAUAAAAGCAUAACACGUCAACAUUUUUUCUAACUCAUUUAUGCAGUAUUAGAAGAGAUCAUGUCGGAAACAUUUCACAGAACAGGAAGCUGAAAAGUGGUGGGCUGAAAAUGGGACCAAAGUAUUGGAGCGGCACAGUGUAGUCGCUACAUAGAAUGCAGCAAGCAAGCAACAGCACUUGUUUCCUUGGAACAACAAAAAAGCUUCACACAAGCAGCAUUUCUGACCCUCUGGAAAUUGUAAAUUCUCUAAUCUUGCCCUUCUCAUUCUCCUCCUCCCCUGAAAAUGAAGGAUCUUUCGUCCGGUAUUUUGACUGUAUAAUAUGAAAGUUAGAUGAAGGCAUAGGAAGAACUGUUAAUAUUCCCGAAAAUUGUAAACUGAGAUGGGGAAAAUAUUAAAGAGCAAAGAUGAGGAGGAAGAAACAUUUUUUUUUGCACCCAUUGUCGAGUAUGGCCGCGUCUUAGCCGUGUGUACUUGUUUGUCUGUUGAACAGUGCCAAUGCCCGAGGAGCACCUGUUCCAUUCCCUCUGGCACAUUGUAUAGCAGACGAGUUUGGAGCUUUUAGACUUCGUUAUCAGGAUUAUUAGACAUAGUAUGACAAA
Molecule: RNA transcript, 4359 nt
Organism: Prosopis cineraria
Lineage: Eukaryota; Viridiplantae; Streptophyta; Magnoliopsida; Fabales; Fabaceae
Gene name: PH, RCC1 and FYVE domains-containing protein 1
Exons: 10
Source: RefSeq, a predicted model, not a curated record